RNAcentral lists this ribosomal RNA (526 nucleotides) under Mesocriconema xenoplax. RNAcentral describes it as "bacterial SSU rRNA". It matches the Rfam family "Eukaryotic small subunit ribosomal RNA", at positions 1055 to 1615 of the family's 1831-position model. Lineage: Eukaryota; Metazoa; Nematoda; Chromadorea; Rhabditida; Criconematidae. The record is from RNAcentral.
AGGGGGUGAAACGGCCCGUUCCCCCUAAAAGCACAACGAGCCGUCAUUCGCGUGUGGCUCUCCCGGAAACAAUUCGCGUUCGGGGAGAAGUAGGUUGCAAAGCUGAACUUAAGGAAUUGACGGAAGGGCCCCCAGGAGAUGGGCUGCGCUUAAUUUGACUCAACACGGGAAAACUCACCCGGCCCGGACACCGUGAGGUUGACAGAUUGAUAGCUUUUCAUGAUUCGGUGGUUGGUGGUGCAUGGCCUUCUUAGUUCGUGGAUCGAUUUGUCUGGUUUAUUCCGAUAACGAGCGAGACUCCAGCCUACUAAAUAGUGCGGGCAUUGCUUCUUGCCUCGCAUUCUUAGAGGGAUUGGCUGCGUCUAGCGGCACGAACGGAGCAAUAACAGUUCUGUGGAUGCCCCUUAGAUGUCGGGGGCUGCACCCCUAACUGGCAAGGGCAGCGUGUUCCAUCCUCAAGGAGUGUAAACCUUGAAAUUUGCCGUGAUUGGGCGAAAUUGCAUUAUUUUCCCGGACGAGGAAUCCU